This is a non-coding RNA of Nicotiana sylvestris (wood tobacco), 74 nucleotides long. Lineage: Eukaryota; Viridiplantae; Streptophyta; Magnoliopsida; Solanales; Solanaceae. The record is from Rfam.
GUUGUCGUGGUGUAGUUGGUUAUGACUUCAUUCUAACACACUGAAGGUCUCCGGUUCAAGUCCGGGCGAUGCCA